CGGGGUGUAGCGCAGUCCGGUUAGCGCAUCGCGUUUGGGACGCGAGGGUCGUGGGUUCGAAUCCCGCUACCCCGA
Molecule: transfer RNA, 75 nt
Filed under: Dysgonamonadaceae bacterium
Lineage: Bacteria; Pseudomonadati; Bacteroidota; Bacteroidia; Bacteroidales; Dysgonomonadaceae
Description: tRNA-Pro
Rfam family: tRNA
About the family: Transfer RNA (tRNA) molecules are approximately 80 nucleotides in length. Their secondary structure includes four short double-helical elements and three loops (D, anti-codon, and T loops).
Source: RNAcentral